This 499-nucleotide ribosomal RNA is filed under the name uncultured bacterium. RNAcentral describes it as "partial 16S ribosomal RNA". It matches the Rfam family "Bacterial small subunit ribosomal RNA", at positions 30 to 523 of the family's 1533-position model. The record is from RNAcentral.
AUUGAACGCUGGCGGCAUGCCUUACACAUGCAAGUCGAACGGCAGCACGGGAGCAAUCCUGGUGGCGAGUGGCGAACGGGUGAGUGAUAUAUCGGAACGUGCCCAGUCGUGGGGGAUAACGCAGCGAGAGCUGUGCUAAUACCGCAUACGAUCUAUGGAUGAAAGCGGGGGAUCGCAAGACCUCGCGCGAUUGGAGUGGCCGAUAUCAGAUAGGUAGUUGGUGGGGUAAAGGCUCACCAAGCCGACGAUCUGUAGCUGGUCUGAGAGGACGACCAGCCACACUGGAACUGAGACACGGUCCAGACUCCUACGGGAGGCAGCAGUGGGGAAUUUUGGACAAUGGGCGCAAGCCUGAUCCAGCAAUGCCGCGCGCAGGAUGAAGGCCUUCGGGUUGUAAACUGCUUUUGUACGGAGCGAAACGGUCUACUCUAAUACAGUGGGCUAAUGACGGUACCGUAAGAAUAAGCACCGGCUAACUACGUGCCAGCCGCCGCAGUAA